UCAAAUCAAGACCCAAGCAACAUUGCCAUCCAUUAAUAAAGUCAUACGUGAAGCAUCAUGCUGGAAGGUGACCAGUGAUUUCACCAUAAGAGAUAUUAAUUCCUUCUUCAACCUACCAAAAAACCAACAAUCAAACUAAACCCAUUAAAAUCAUUUCAGUGCCAAAAAAAAACAACCAUCAAGAAACAACAUA
Molecule: long non-coding RNA, 193 nt
Organism: Populus euphratica (Euphrates poplar)
Lineage: Eukaryota; Viridiplantae; Streptophyta; Magnoliopsida; Malpighiales; Salicaceae
Exons: 2
Source: RefSeq, a predicted model, not a curated record